CGGAGAGGGCGCAUGAGAAACGGCUACCACAUCUAAGGAAGGCAGCAGGCGCGUAAAUUACCCAAUCCUGACACAGGGAGGUAGUGACAAGAAAUACCAAUAUAAGGCUUAUAUGUCUUGUAAUUGGGAUGAGUAUAAUUUAAACCGCGUUACGAGUAUCAAUUGGAGGGCAAGUCUGGUGCCAGCAGCCGCGGUAAUUCCAGCUCCAAUAGCGUAUAUUAAAAUUGUUGCGGUUAAAACGCUCGUAGUUGGAUAUUUGUUGAGAACUGCCGGUCUACCCCAGUGGUCAGCACACGGUUUGUUCUCGGCACUUUCCUGGGGAGAGUGUUUGCACUUCACUGUGUGGCACAUGAUCCAGAACUUUUACUUUGAGGAAAUGAGAGUGUUUCAAGCAGGCGCCUGUCGUGAAUACGUUAGCAUGGAAUAAUAGCAUGGGACCGCGGUCUGAAGCUGUUGGUUUUCGGGCCGUGGUAAUGAAAAUAGGGAUAGUUGGGGGUAUUCGUAUUUAACUGUCAGAGGUGAAAUUCUUGGAUUUUUUAAAGACGGACUACUGCGAAAGCAUCUGCCCAGGAUGUUUUUAUUGAUCAAGAACGAAAGUUAGGGGAUCGAAGACGAUCAGAUACCGUCCUAGUUUUAACCUUAAACCAUGCCGACUAGAGAUUUGGGUCGUCAGAAUCGUGACGCCCUGAGCACCUUAGGGGAAACCAAAGUCUUCGGGUUCCGGGGGGAGUAUGGUCGCAAGGCUGAAACUUAAAGGAAUUGACGGAAGGGCACCACCAGGAGUGGAGCCUGCGGCUUAAUUUGACUCAACACGGGGAAACUUACCAGGUCCGGACAUAGAGAGGAUCUGACAGACUGAUAGCUCUUUCUUGAUUCUAUGGGUGGUGGUGCAUGGCCGUUCUUAGUUGGUGGAGUGAUUUGUCUGAGUUAAUUCCGUUAACGAACGAGACCUUAACCUGAUAAAUAGUUUCCAGAACCAUAUAGUUUCAGGAUGAUUUCUUAGAGGGACUUUGUGUGUGUAACGUGAGGAAGUGUGAGGCAAUAACAGGUCUGUGAUGACCUUAGAUGUUCUGGGCCGCACGCGCGCUACAUUGAUGCGUUCAACGAGCUCCUAACAUACUCCGGAAGGAUUGGGCAACCUUGUGAAAGCGCAUCGUGAUGGGGAUAGAUUAUUGCAAUUAUUAAUCUUGAACGAGGAAUUCCUAGUAAGCGUAAUUCAUCAGAUUGCGCUGAUUACGUCCCUGCCCUUUGUACACACCGCCCGUCGCUCCUACCGAUUGAGUGGUCCGGUGAAUAAUUCGGAUUGCGUCUUAUUUCAGACUUGGGAUUUGACGCGAGAAGUCUAGUAAACCUUAUCACUUAGAGGAAGGAGAAGUCGUAACAAGGUAACC
This 1391-nucleotide ribosomal RNA is filed under the name uncultured dinoflagellate. RNAcentral describes it as "SSU rRNA". It matches the Rfam family "Eukaryotic small subunit ribosomal RNA", at positions 384 to 1804 of the family's 1831-position model. The record is from RNAcentral. Lineage: Eukaryota; Dinophyceae.